Molecule: long non-coding RNA, 2491 nt
Organism: Aedes albopictus (Asian tiger mosquito)
Lineage: Eukaryota; Metazoa; Arthropoda; Insecta; Diptera; Culicidae
Exons: 3
Source: RefSeq, a predicted model, not a curated record
UACGUUUAGUUUUGAUUUGCCACAUAAGCCAGACAUUUGACCGAUUAGUAGAUAAGAAUACACCAAGUAGCAAUACAGAAAAUGUUCCGCGCGCGACCAGUUGAGCACCCAUGCCAGAAAGCUCAAUGAUUCUGCCCGUCGAUGACUCCGUUCGGCGAUGAUCCCGUCCGUCGAUCGCCCAGAACGACGACAGGUAGCAAGCCUCAAUACACACAGAUGAAAGCAAGACGAUCAUCCCAGAAAGAAGAGCGAACGAGAGCUCGCCACGACGAAGUUUUCACUACACGCACACAGAAGCUCCAAGCCUAUGCGAAUAGGAGAGAGGCACUCUCGCCGCCACCACAGUCCCACACUUUGCACUUGUUAAUACGGCUAAUGAAACACACACACGAGUGCAGGCCGACGGCGGACAGCCGACAGCACCAGACGGAGCGAAAGCAGAGUCAAUCGUCAUUAGUCCGGUCCGGUGGGAAGAUUACACGUUUACGGUGGCGUGCGGAUUACAGAAAAGUGUGAGUGUGAGCAUGUCGUGAAAGGUUGUGGAUUUCAGACCGAAGAGUGAUUUCCCCCACGCACAGCAAGCACCUAGCUAGGAAGUACCGCAAGUGAAAGUGUAUUUUGUGCCGGAUUCGCUGUGGCCUAAGCUGCUGGAGAGCACCCCGACCGGAUUAAGUGUAGCGCACUUCUUGCCAGCUGACAAGCAGCAGCGGCUCGUGACGCGUCGAGAGCAAAGAAAAGGCAGUCCGCAACGCUAGAGGGAAUUUUCCUCGGAGUAGCUAGCCUCCGCCAAGGAAAACACGUGCAUGCAGUGCGAUUGGUGUGAGAGCGACACUGAGGGCAUCCAUUCGAAGGCGGUCGGUGAACGGACGAUCAAAAAGCCCCGCAAAGGGUGAGUUACAAAAAAAGAAGAUCACAAAGCACAUCCGACUAAAGGCGCCUCUGUGUUCCACAGGGCCUUUGUGUUUUCUUUAUUUUCUUGAUUCUCCGACAGCGUUUGUCGUUUGGAGCGCUUUCCAUUCAUCGCUUUCGCAUCCAUUACCGUACCGUGGAUAGGUGCAACUUUGGACCUUCGAACUCUUCUAACAACUCGGUAGCGGCUACAUCCACCGCCUAACGGACUGCGAAGGAGCAAUCGAGGAUCGCCGACGUGUUUUCGGUGGCCAGUGGACCUCGGGCCAAAGUGUAUGUUCCAGAAUCGGAAUCGAAUUUCCGGUGACUGACGAAACUCGAUCCGCAGUGCUUCGUGGGUGAGCCAAGGUCGUCGUGGUAGUGGCAGCCACGCCGGCGCGAAACGACUUCGUGAAGGUGACAGCAGUUUGGAGACAGAGGUUCCCAAUCCGGGGGCGAUCAGCAGCGAUGAGCGGGCAGGAGGAAGCGCCUGGCGGGUGCGCACAGUGAGCAAUAGGGCGAUGAAGCGGUGCCGUGAGUACCACCCUAGUCUAAGCAAAUGAUUGUAAGUGGGACAAAGCAUAGAUUAAGCUACAAGCAGCUAGAGAUAGAGUUCAGGCGGUCAUGAUGGCUAUCAAUAUAUGUAUAGGGUGUCCCAGAAAGUAUGGGCACAACUUUGUAUAGCGAAAAUACAAUCUUUUUCUUAACAAACAACAGUUUUUAUAUUUUUGUAUUUUUAUUCAGAGUAUUUUAAUUGAUACCUGUGAAGAGUUUAUACAUUAAAAAUGGUUUCUAUAUGCAGAAUGAUUAAAAUGGAAGAACAUUUUCUAAAACUUCUGCACAAACUACUUUUUUACGGUUUUGCCAAAUAUCCAAAUUCGAAACAUUUUUUUCGAAUUUUUUUCACAUGAUACAUUCGAAAACAUGUUUCCUCAGAUGGUUGAUUGAAAUUUUUUAUAAAAAUAUGUUUUGAUUGUGCGUACGGGCAAAUCAUAAUUUUGAGAAAACUGAAAAUUCACCUUUUCUAUUUCUGGAUUAGACAUGCCCACAUACAUUCGAGUUUUAAAACAUGUUUUGACGAGAAUAAAAACAAUUCAAUCUACACUUUAUAAAGCUGGAGCAUUUAUUGAACUUAUAGUGAAAUAAAAAUGUAAUUUUCUGCAUGUUGUGAUAUAUAUUCAGAAGCUUGUUUUCAACUAUUAAAAAACAGGUUUUCAAAGAUAUCGAUUUUGGUGUUUCAAUUCAUUUUUCAGGUUCAAAAGUAUAUGUUUCCAAUUCGAACUUAGGGUUGUAUAAUAGAUACGCAUGUAGAAAUACACGGAUAUAUUUUUUGAAAUUUUUAUCGAGCUUAAUUUCAUGCGUGGAAAAUAAUUUGUUAAGCGAUGUUAUUGAAAAAUAUAGCAAUUUGUGCAGAAGCUUUAAAAGGUCUUUCAGGAAAUGUUCUACCGCAUUCAAACGAAGUGUGAAAUGCAAAUUUUAAUGAUUGGCAUUUGAUGUUGACAUAUUAAGGCAGGAUAUGUGUGAAAAUAAAGUUUGUUUAUGCAUCCAUUCCCAAAUGGCAGAGCUGCAAAGUUGUGCCCAUACUUUCUGGGACACCCUAUAA